RNAcentral lists this ribosomal RNA (497 nucleotides) under uncultured bacterium. RNAcentral's name for it is "partial 16S ribosomal RNA". It matches the Rfam family "Bacterial small subunit ribosomal RNA", at positions 28 to 507 of the family's 1533-position model. The record is from RNAcentral.
GAUGAACGCUGGCGGCGUGCCUAAUACAUGCAAGUCGAGCGAACAGACGAGGAGCUUGCUCCUCUGACGUUAGCGGCGGACGGGUGAGUAACACGUGGAUAACCUACCUAUAAGACUGGGAUAACUUCGUGAAACCGGAGCUAAUACCGGAUAAUAUAUUGAACCGCAUGGUUCAAUAGUGAAAGACGGUUUUGCUGUCACUUAUAGAUGGAUCCGCGCCGCAUUAGCUAGUUGGUAAGGUAACGGCUUACCAAGGCAACGAUGCGUAGCCGACCUGAGAGGGUGAUCGGCCACACUGGAACUGAGACACGGUCCAGACUCCUACGGGAGGCAGCAGUAGGGAAUCUUCCGCAAUGGGCGAAAGCUUGACGGAGCAAAGCCGCGUGAGUGAUGAAGGUCUUCGGAUCGUAAAACUCUGUUAUUAGGGAAGAACAAAUGUGUAAGUAACUAUGCACGUCUUGACGGUACCUAAUCAGAAAGCCACGGCUAACUACGUG